AGAUUGAACGCUGGCGGCAGGCCUAACACAUGCAAGUCGAGCGGCAGCACGGGUACUUGUACCUGGUGGCGAGCGGCGGACGGGUGAGUAAUGCCUAGGAAUCUGCCUGGUAGUGGGGGAUAACGCUCGGAAACGGACGCUAAUACCGCAUAACGCCCUACGGGAGAAAGCAGGGGACCUUCGGGCCUUGCGCUAUCAGAUGAGCCUAGGUCGGAUUAGCUA
Molecule: ribosomal RNA, 222 nt
Filed under: uncultured soil bacterium
Lineage: Bacteria
Description: partial 16S ribosomal RNA
Rfam family: Bacterial small subunit ribosomal RNA
Source: RNAcentral